This 499-nucleotide ribosomal RNA is filed under the name uncultured bacterium. RNAcentral's name for it is "partial 16S ribosomal RNA". It matches the Rfam family "Bacterial small subunit ribosomal RNA", at positions 28 to 507 of the family's 1533-position model. The record is from RNAcentral.
GACGAACGCUGGCGGCGUGCUUAACACAUGCAAGUCGAACGGGCCCGCUCUCUUUUUUGGGGGUGGGUUGAGUGGCGAACGGGUGAGUAUCACGUGAGUAACCUGCCCCCUGCUCCUGGAUAACUGCUUGAAAGGGCGGCUAAUACGGGGUGUGCCGGCUGGUCCGCAUGGGCCUGGUCGGGAUAGUUUCAUCUUCGGGUGUUUCGGUGGGGGAUGGGCUCGCGGCCUAUCAGCUUGUUGGUGGGGUGAUGGCCCACCAAGGCGGUGACGGGUAGCCGGCCUGAGAGGGUGGGCGGCCACACUGGGACUGAGACACGGCCCAGACUCCUGCGGGAGGCAGCGGUGGGGGGUAUUGCACAAUGGGCGGAAGCCUGAUGCAGCGACGUCGCGUGAGGGAUGGAGGCCUUCGGGUUGUGAACCUCUUUCUCCGGUGGUGAAGGCCCUGUCCGUUGCGGCGGGGUUGACGGUAGCCGGGGAUGAAGCGCCGGCUAACUACGUG